GACGGAGGAGGCAAGCGUUCUCCGGAAUUACUGGGCGUAAAGCGUACGUAGGCGGCUUAUCAAGUCUGGGGUCAAAGACCACAGCUUAACUGUGGAAAGGCCUUGGAAACUGGUGAGCUGGAGUGAGGUAGGGGUUGCGGGAAUUCCCGGUGUAGCGGUGAAAUGCGUAGAUAUCGGGAAGAACACCUGAGGCGAAAGCGCGCGACUGGGCCUUAACUGACGCUGAGGUACGAAAGCUAGGGGAGCGAAUGGG
RNAcentral lists this ribosomal RNA (253 nucleotides) under uncultured bacterium. RNAcentral describes it as "partial 16S ribosomal RNA". It matches the Rfam family "Bacterial small subunit ribosomal RNA", at positions 524 to 776 of the family's 1533-position model. The record is from RNAcentral.